CUCCAAGUUGCAAUUCCGAUAUUUGCUGUCAUUGUUUUAUCACCUGAUAUGACAUGAUAGUUGUUGUUACAUUAUAUUAUUCACAAAAUCUUUUUUACUUUAUAAGACUUUCCUAUAUUAUAAUCUUAGAAAGCAGUGUAAUAGGGUAAUAGCAAAUUUGUGAUAGUAAUCAUAGUCCGGAGAGCUUGAAUGUAAUAAUUUGAGUGUUGUAAUAUUAAUAAAAAAAAAAUUAUAAAUGUUUGAGAAGGUAUGUUUUCCAUGAUUUUUUUUUUAUUUUUUGCUUUUUCACAUUCGAAUAUGUCCAUCAAUCAUAAGAUAGAUAAAAAAACCAGGACUCAAGAGAUGUGACGUGGCUGCACGUCAUUGGUCGUACACCACUCCUGGGUAACAGACAAGGCUGUCGCUGUCCAGUUAUUAUUACCCUCCGUACCAUGGAGAAGCAAUUUAGACAUCUGUGCCGACUGCUAACCUACACGAGUAGGCGCGUUUUCCGUACCGCGGCCGCCGGCCCCACUUUCAUAUCAUGUGUGGCGGCGCACUACGCGGUUAAUUUUUAGCCGCAUGCGGCAGGACCCACCCGAUUGAAAAAUCAUGAUCAAGUGGUCAAUGGGCAGAGUCCAUCAUGGUCAACGUCAUCGACAGCUGUGGUUCAUGAAUCUCCUUUGCUGUUAUACAUUUUUUGCUUUAAAAAUAUCCUUGUCAAAGGCGUAGCAUAAGAUUAUUUUUCUCUCUAAAAAAUAAAAUUAUAACUCACUUGGAUCUACCUAACAAACUUCAAC
RNAcentral lists this long non-coding RNA (779 nucleotides) under Vitis vinifera (wine grape). Its description in RNAcentral is "long non-coding RNA (VVIN_LNC002022)". The record is from RNAcentral. Lineage: Eukaryota; Viridiplantae; Streptophyta; Magnoliopsida; Vitales; Vitaceae.